UGCCUACGGGACGCAGCAGUGGGGAAUAUUGGGCAAUGGACGCAAGUCUGGCCCAGCAACGCCGCGUGAAGGAAGAAGGCUUUCGGGUUGUAAACUUCUUUUAAGGGGGAAGAGUAGAAGACGGUACCCCUUGAAUAAGCCACGGCUAACUACGUGCCAGCAGCCGCGGUAAUACGUAGGUGGCAAGUGUUGUCCGGAUUUACUGGGUGUAAAGGGCGUGCAGCCGGAGAGACAAGUCAGAUGUGAAAUCCGCGGGCUCAACCCGCGAACUGCAUUUGAAACUGUUUCCCUUGAGUAUCGGAGAG
Molecule: ribosomal RNA, 305 nt
Filed under: uncultured bacterium
Lineage: Bacteria
Description: bacterial SSU rRNA
Rfam family: Bacterial small subunit ribosomal RNA
Source: RNAcentral